CCUACGGGAGGCAGCAGUGGGGAAUAUUGGACAAUGGGCGAAAGCCUGAUCCAGCAAUGCCGCGUGAGUGAAGAAGGCCUUCGGGUUGUAAAGCUCUUUUACCCGGGAAGAUAAUGACCGUACCGGGAGAAUAAGCCCCGGCUAACUCCGUGCCAGCAGCCGCGGUAAUACGGAGGGGGCUAGCGUUGUUCGGAAUCACUGGGCGUAAAGCGUGCGUAGGCGGCCAUUCAAGUCAGAGGUGAAAGCCCAGGGCUCAACCCUGGAACUGCCUUUGAAACUAGGUGGCUGGAACACGGGAGAGGUGAGUGGAAUUCCGAGUGUAGAGGUGAAAUUCGUAGAUAUUCGGAAGAACACCAGUGGCGAAGGCGGCUCACUGGACCGUUGUUGACGCUGAGGCACGAAAGCGUGGGGAGCAAACAGGAUUAGAUACCCUGGUAGUCCACGCCGUAAACGAUGAUAACUAGCUGUUGGGGCUCUUUGAGCUCCAGUGGCGCAGCUACGACAUUAAGUUAUCCGUCCGUCGGGUAGGUACGGCCGGCCGAACGGUUAAAACGUACGAAAUAGAAGUUAGACGGCGUGUAGACGUUGCCGACGGCGACGACGAGGGGAGGUUAGG
RNAcentral lists this ribosomal RNA (616 nucleotides) under uncultured bacterium. RNAcentral's name for it is "bacterial SSU rRNA". The stretch from base 1 to 518 matches the Rfam family "Bacterial small subunit ribosomal RNA", at positions 338 to 873 of the family's 1533-position model. The record is from RNAcentral.